RNAcentral lists this ribosomal RNA (253 nucleotides) under uncultured bacterium. RNAcentral's name for it is "partial 16S ribosomal RNA". It matches the Rfam family "Bacterial small subunit ribosomal RNA", at positions 524 to 776 of the family's 1533-position model. The record is from RNAcentral.
UACGUAGGGGGCAAGCGUUGUCCGGAUUUACUGGGCGUAAAGAGCGUGUAGGCGGCCAGAUAAGUCCGCUGUGAAAUCUCGAGGCUCAACUUCGAGCUGUCGGUGGAAACUAUCUGGCUAGAGUCCGGAAGAGGAGAAUGGAAUUCCUGGUGUAGCGGUGAAAUGCGCAGAUAUCAGGAAGAACACCCGUGGCGAAGGCGGUUCUCUGGGACGGUACUGACGCUGAGACGCGAAAGCGUGGGGAGCGAACAGG